RNAcentral lists this ribosomal RNA (722 nucleotides) under Combretum vendae. RNAcentral's name for it is "eukaryotic LSU rRNA". The stretch from base 1 to 102 matches the Rfam family "Eukaryotic small subunit ribosomal RNA", at positions 1730 to 1831 of the family's 1831-position model. The record is from RNAcentral. Lineage: Eukaryota; Viridiplantae; Streptophyta; Magnoliopsida; Myrtales; Combretaceae.
UCGCCGCCGACGACGUCGCGAGAAGUCCACUGAACCUUAUCAUUUAGAGGAAGGAGAAGUCGUAACAAGGUUUCCGUAGGUGAACCUGCGGAAGGAUCAUUGUCGAUGCCUGCAAAGCAGAACGACCCGCGAACCGUUCCUCAACACUCGGGACGCCGGAUGGCAUCCGGCUGCCCGGCAUCCCGACGCUUCGGACGCGGGGGGUGCGAGCCACUCCCGGCGGACGGAGCAUCAAACACACCCCGGCGUGCAAAGCGCCAAGGUACUCCAACGGUAGGGCAAGUACCCGUCCGCCUGGGUUUCCAGCGCGGUCGGGUGUCUGUUCGGUGCAGUAAAUCUAAACGACUNNNGUGUGAAUUGCAGAAUCCCGUGAACCAUCGAGUCUUUGAACGCAAGUUGCGCCCGAAGCCUUGGCUGAGGGCACGCCUGCCUGGGUGUCACACGUCGCGUCGCCUCCGAAACCUUUCCCCUCGUAACACCGUGGCGAUGGUUCCGGAUGCGGAAGAUGGCCUCCCGUGACCACGAGCCACGGACGGCCCAAGUUUUUGCUGGGGAAGCGAAGCGCCACGGCUUUCGGUGGUCGGCACAGCCCCUGAGGCGAUGAACGAACGAAGCCCGUGGCUGCCGCUACGGUCCCCGGUCCACGACCCCAAUCACUAACCAACGCGACCUCAGGUCAGGCGGGGCUACCCGCUGAGUUUAAGCAUAUCAAUAAGCGGAGG